GAUGAACGCUGGCGGCGUGCCUAAUACAUGCAAGUCGAGCGAACAGAUAAGGAGCUUGCUCCUUUGACGUUAGCGGCGGACGUGUGAGUAACACGUGGGUAACCUCCCUAUAAGUCUGGUAUAACUUCGGGAAACCGGAGCUAAUCCCGUAUAACCUUUGGCACCGUAUGUUUCUAAAGUAAAAGUCGGUUUUUCUAUCACUUAUAGAUGGACCGCGGCGGUUUUAGCUGGUUGGUAAGGUCACGGGCUACCAAGGCGACGAUACGUAGACGACCUGCGAGGGGGAUAGGCCACACGGGAAGGGGAACACGGUCAAGAGGACUAAGGGAGGCAGCAGUAGGGAAUGGGACGCAAUGGGAGGAAGCAUGACGGAGCAAGGCCGCGUGAGUGAUGAAGGGUUUGGGCGCGUAAAAAUCGGUUAUGAGGGAAGAACAGAUGUGUAAGUAAAUGUGCACGGAUUGACGGUAACGAAUAAGAAAGCAACGGCUAACUACGUG
RNAcentral lists this ribosomal RNA (497 nucleotides) under uncultured bacterium. Its description in RNAcentral is "partial 16S ribosomal RNA". It matches the Rfam family "Bacterial small subunit ribosomal RNA", at positions 28 to 507 of the family's 1533-position model. The record is from RNAcentral.